RNAcentral lists this ribosomal RNA (1471 nucleotides) under Lactiplantibacillus plantarum. RNAcentral's name for it is "bacterial SSU rRNA". It matches the Rfam family "Bacterial small subunit ribosomal RNA". The record is from RNAcentral. Lineage: Bacteria; Bacillati; Bacillota; Bacilli; Lactobacillales; Lactobacillaceae.
CAUGCAAGUCGAACGAACUCUGGUAUUGAUUGGUGCUUGCAUCAUGAUUUAUUACAUUUGAGUGAGUGGCGAACUGGUGAGUAACACGUGGGAAACCUGCCCAGAAGCGGGGGAUAACACCUGGAAACAGAUGCUAAUACCGCAUAACAACUUGGACCGCAUGGUCCGAGUUUGAAAGAUGGCUUCGGCUAUCACUUUUGGAUGGUCCCGCGGCGUAUUAGCUAGAUGGUGGGGUAACGGCUCACCAUGGCAAUGAUACGUAGCCGACCUGAGAGGGUAAUCGGCCACAUUGGGACUGAGACACGGCCCAAACUCCUACGGGAGGCAGCAGUAGGGAAUCUUCCACAAUGGACGAAAGUCUGAUGGAGCAACGCCGCGUGAGUGAAGAAGGGUUUCGGCUCGUAAAACUCUGUUGUUAAAGAAGAACAUAUCUGAGAGUAACUGUUCAGGUAUUGACGGUAUUUAACCAGAAAGCCACGGCUAACUACGUGCCAGCAGCCGCGGUAAUACGUAGGUGGCAAGCGUUGUCCGGAUUUAUUGGGCGUAAAGCGAGCGCAGGCGGUUUUUUAAGUCUGAUGUGAAAGCCUUCGGCUCAACCGAAGAAGUGCAUCGGAAACUGGGAAACUUGAGUGCAGAAGAGGACAGUGGAACUCCAUGUGUAGCGGUGAAAUGCGUAGAUAUAUGGAAGAACACCAGUGGCGAAGGCGGCUGUCUGGUCUGUAACUGACGCUGAGGCUCGAAAGUAUGGGUAGCAAACAGGAUUAGAUACCCUGGUAGUCCAUACCGUAAACGAUGAAUGCUAAGUGUUGGAGGGUUUCCGCCCUUCAGUGCUGCAGCUAACGCAUUAAGCAUUCCGCCUGGGGAGUACGGCCGCAAGGCUGAAACUCAAAGGAAUUGACGGGGGCCCGCACAAGCGGUGGAGCAUGUGGUUUAAUUCGAAGCUACGCGAAGAACCUUACCAGGUCUUGACAUACUAUGCAAAUCUAAGAGAUUAGACGUUCCCUUCGGGGACAUGGAUACAGGUGGUGCAUGGUUGUCGUCAGCUCGUGUCGUGAGAUGUUGGGUUAAGUCCCGCAACGAGCGCAACCCUUAUUAUCAGUUGCCAGCAUUAAGUUGGGCACUCUGGUGAGACUGCCGGUGACAAACCGGAGGAAGGUGGGGAUGACGUCAAAUCAUCAUGCCCCUUAUGACCUGGGCUACACACGUGCUACAAUGGAUGGUACAACGAGUUGCGAACUCGCGAGAGUAAGCUAAUCUCUUAAAGCCAUUCUCAGUUCGGAUUGUAGGCUGCAACUCGCCUACAUGAAGUCGGAAUCGCUAGUAAUCGCGGAUCAGCAUGCCGCGGUGAAUACGUUCCCGGGCCUUGUACACACCGCCCGUCACACCAUGAGAGUUUGUAACACCCAAAGUCGGUGGGGUAACCUUUUAGGAACCAGCCGCCUAAGGUGGGACAGAUGAUUAGGGUGAAGUG